AGUGAACGCUGGCGGUAGGCCUAACACAUGCAAGUCGAACAGCAGCACAGUAAGAGCUUGCUCUUACGGGUGGCGAGUGGCGGACGGGUGAGGAAUACAUCGGAAUCUACUUUUUCGUGGGGGAUAACGUAGGGAAACUUACGCUAAUACCGCAUACGACCUACGGGUGAAAGCAGGCGCUCUUCGGACCUUGCGCGAUUGAAUGAGCCGAUGUCGGAUUAGCUAGUUGGCGGGGUAACGGCCCACCAAGGCGACGAUCCGUAGCUGGUCUGAGAGGAUGAUCAGCCACACUGGAACUGAGAGACGGUCCAGACUCGUACGGGAGGCAGCAGUGGGGAAUAUUGGACAAUGGGCGCAAGCCUGAUCCAGCCAUACCGCGUGGGUGAAGAAGGCCUUGGGGUGGUAAAGCACUUGGGUUGGGAAAGAAAAGCAGCAUGUUAAGACCCCGCUGUUCUGACGGUACCCAAAGAAUAAGCACCGGCUAACUUCGUG
RNAcentral lists this ribosomal RNA (492 nucleotides) under uncultured bacterium. RNAcentral describes it as "partial 16S ribosomal RNA". It matches the Rfam family "Bacterial small subunit ribosomal RNA", at positions 29 to 507 of the family's 1533-position model. The record is from RNAcentral.